UGAGGGAAAGGCGAAAAGAACCCCGGCGAGGGGAGUGAAAAAGAACCUGAAACCGUGUACGUACAAGCAGUGGGAGCACGCUUCGGCGUGUGACUGCGUACCUUUUGUAUAAUGGGUCAGCGACUUAUAUUCUGUAGCAAGGUUAACCGAAUAGGGGAGCCGAAGGGAAACCGAGUCUUAACUGGGCGUUAAGUUGCAGGGUAUAGACCCGAAACCCGGUGAUCUAGCCAUGGGCAGGUUGAAGGUUGGGUAACACUAACUGGAGGACCGAACCGACUAAUGUUGAAAAAUUAGCGGAUGACUUGUGGCUGGGGGUGAAAGGCCAAUCAAACCGGGAGAUAGCUGGUUCUCCCCGAAAGCUAUUUAGGUAGCGCCUCGUGAAUUCAUCUCCGGGGGUAGAGCACUGUUUCGGCAAGGGGGUCAUCCCGACUUACCAACCCGAUGCAAACUGCGAAUACCGGAGAAUGUUAUCACGGGAGACACACGGCGGGUGCUAACGUCCGUCGUGAAGAGGGAAACAACCCAGACCGCCAGCUAAGGUCCCAAAGUCAUGGUUAAGUGGGAAACGAUGUGGGAAGGCCCAGACAGCCAGGAUGUUGGCUUAGAAGCAGCCAUCAUUUAAAGAAAGCGUAAUAGCUCACUGGUCGAGUCGGCCUGCGCGGAAGAUGUAACGGGGCUAAACCAUGCACCGAAGCUGCGGCAGCGACACUAUGUGUUGUUGGGUAGGGGAGCGUUCUGUAAGCCUGUGAAGGUGUGCUGUGAGGCAUGCUGGAGGUAUCAGAAGUGCGAAUGCUGACAUAAGUAACGAUAAAGCGGGUGAAAAGCCCGCUCGCCGGAAGACC
This 842-nucleotide ribosomal RNA is filed under the name Escherichia coli. RNAcentral describes it as "partial 23S ribosomal RNA". It matches the Rfam family "Bacterial large subunit ribosomal RNA", at positions 504 to 1346 of the family's 2925-position model. The record is from RNAcentral. Lineage: Bacteria; Pseudomonadati; Pseudomonadota; Gammaproteobacteria; Enterobacterales; Enterobacteriaceae.